GUGGUAGAGGAGCAUACUGCAAGGAAGAAGCCUGAUUGAGAGAGAAGGUGGACGAAGCAGUAGAGAGAAUGCCGGAAUGAGUAGCGAGAUAUAUGUGAGAACCAUAUAGGCCGAAUAUCUAAGGAUUCCUGAGUGAAGCUAAUCUACUCAGGGUAAGUCGGGACCUAAGGCGAGGACGAGAGUCGUAGUCGAUGGACAACUGGUAGAGAUUCCAGUACUAUGUAUAAUCAGAACUGUGGGGACGCAGGAGGAUAGAUGUACCGCGGAAAGGGAAGACGCGGCUAAGUACAAAGUCGAGUUUGAAAGGCAAAUCCGUCAAAUGAUGAUGAAGUACGAAAGGGACUGAAAGAAAGUAAGGAAGACAUUGAAUCCACACUGCCGAGAAAAGCCGCUAUAGAGUUAUACAUACCCGUACCGUAAACCGACACAGGUAGAUGAGGAGAAAAUCCACAGGCCGACGGGAGAAGUGUUGUUAAGGAACUCGGCAAAAUGACCCCGUAACUUAGGGAUAAGGGGAGCCACGAGAGUGGCCACAGAAAAGAGGCUCAAGCAACUGUUUAGCAAAAACACAGGUCUAUGCGAAACCGAAAGGUGAAGUAUAUGGGCUGACGCCUGCCCGGUGCUGGAAGGUUAAAAGGAGAGGUAAGCCGCAAGGCGAAGCUUUGAAUUCAAGCCCCAGUAAACGGCGGCCGUAACUAUAACGGUCCUAAGGUAGCGAAAUUCCUUGUCAGGUAAGUUCUGACCCGCACGAAAGGUGUAAUGAUUUGAGCACUGUCUCGACAACACGCCCGGUGAAAUUGAAGAACCAGUGAAGAUGCUGGUUACCCGCAACAGGACGGAAAGACCCCAUGGAGCUUUACUCCAGCCUGAUACUGGGAUUCGAUGAUGUAUGUACAGGAUAGGUGGGAGACAGAGAAGGUAGGACGCCAGUCUUGCCGGAGUCGCCGGUGGGAUACCUCUCUUACAUCAUUGGGUUUCUAACCUGCAUCCGUAAACCGGAUGAGGGACAAUGUCAGGCGGGCAGUUUGACUGGGGCGGUCGCCUCCAAAAGAGUAACGGAGGCGCUCAAAGGUCUUCUCAGAAUGAUUGGAAACCAUUCAAAGAGUGUAAAGGCAAAAGAAGGCUUGACUGCGAGGCCGACGGGCCGAGCAGGUACGAAAGUAGGACUUAGUGAUCCGGUGGUAAUACGUGGGAAUGCCAUCGCUCAACGGAUAAAAGCUACCCUGGGGAUAACAGGCUGAUCUCCCCCAAGAGUUCACAUCGACGGGGAGGUUUGGCACCUCGAUGUCGGCUCAUCGCAUCCUGGGGCUGAAGUAGGUCCCAAGGGUUGGGCUGUUCGCCCAUUAAAGCGGUACGCGAGCUGGGUUCAGAACGUCGUGAGACAGUUCGGUCCCUAUCCGUUGUGGGCGCAGGAAAUUUGAGAGGAGCUGUCCUUAGUACGAGAGGACCGGGAUGGACGAACCGCUGGUGUAUCUGUUGUCAUACCAAAUGCACGGCAGAGUAGCUAAGUUCGGAACGGAUAAACGCUGAAGGCAUCUAAGCGUGAAGCCGCCC
Molecule: ribosomal RNA, 1554 nt
Filed under: human gut metagenome
Description: bacterial LSU rRNA
Rfam family: Bacterial large subunit ribosomal RNA
Source: RNAcentral